GCGGCAGGCCUAACACAUGCAAGUCGAACGGUAACAGGAAGCAGCUUGCUGCUUUGCUGACGAGUGGCGGACGGGUGAGUAAUGUCUGGGAAACUGCCUGAUGGAGGGGGAUAACUACUGGAAACGGUGGCUAAUACCGCAUAACGUCGCAAGACCAAAGAGGGGGACCUUCGGGCCUCUUGCCAUCAGAUGUGCCCAGAUGGGAUUAGCUUGUUGGUGAGGUAACGGCUCACCAAGGCGACGAUCCCUAGCUGGUCUGAGAGGAUGACCAGCCACACUGGAACUGAGACACGGUCCAGACUCCUACGGGAGGCAGCAGUGGGGAAUAUUGCACAAUGGGCGCAAGCCUGAUGCAGCCAUGCCGCGUGUAUGAAGAAGGCCUUCGGGUUGUAAAGUACUUUCAGCGGGGAGGAAGGUGUUGUGGUUAAUAACCGCAGCAAUUGACGUUACCCGCAGAAGAAGCACCGGCUAACUCCGUGCCAGCAGCCGCGGUAAUACGGAGGGUGCAAGCGUUAAUCGGAAUUACUGGGCGUAAAGCGCACGCAGGCGGUCUGUCAAGUCGGAUGUGAAAUCCCCGGGCUCAACCUGGGAACUGCAUUCGAAACUGGCAGGCUUGAGUCUUGUAGAGGGGGGUAGAAUUCCAGGUGUAGCGGUGAAAUGCGUAGAGAUCUGGAGGAAUACCGGUGGCGAAGGCGGCCCCCUGGACAAAGACUGACGCUCAGGUGCGAAAGCGUGGGGAGCAAACAGGAUUAGAUACCCUGGUAGUCCACGCCGUAAACGAUGUCUACUUGGAGGUUGUGCCCUUGAGGCGUGGCUUCCGGAGCUAACGCGUUAAGUAGACCGCCUGGGGAGUACGGCCGCAAGGUUAAAACUCAAAUGAAUUGACGGGGGCCCGCACAAGCGGUGGAGCAUGUGGUUUAAUUCGAUGCAACGCGAAGAACCUUACCUGGUCUUGACAUCCACAGAAGAAUCCAGAGAUGGAUUUGUGCCUUCGGGAACUGUGAGACAGGUGCUGCAUGGCUGUCGUCAGCUCGUGUUGUGAAAUGUUGGGUUAAGUCCCGCAACGAGCGCAACCCUUAUCCUUUGUUGCCAGCGGUUAGGCCGGGAACUCAAAGGAGACUGCCAGUGAUAAACUGGAGGAAGGUGGGGAUGACGUCAAGUCAUCAUGGCCCUUACGACCAGGGCUACACACGUGCUACAAUGGCGCAUACAAAGAGAAGCGACCUCGCGAGAGCAAGCGGACCUCAUAAAGUGCGUCGUAGUCCGGAUUGGAGUCUGCAACUCGACUCCAUGAAGUCGGAAUCGCUAGUAAUCGUGGAUCAGAAUGCCACGGUGAAUACGUUCCCGGGCCUUGUACACACCGCCCGUCACACCAUGGGAGUGGGUUGCAAAAGAAGUAGGUAGCUUAACCUUCGGGAGGGCGCUUACCACUUUGUGAUUCAUGACUGGGGUGAAGUCGUAACAAGGUAACCGUAGGGGAACCUGCGGUUGGA
Molecule: ribosomal RNA, 1493 nt
Filed under: Salmonella enterica
Lineage: Bacteria; Pseudomonadati; Pseudomonadota; Gammaproteobacteria; Enterobacterales; Enterobacteriaceae
Also listed under: 2 other names
Description: bacterial SSU rRNA
Rfam family: Bacterial small subunit ribosomal RNA
Source: RNAcentral